AGAGUUUGAUCCUGGCUCAGGACGAACGCUGGCGGCGCGCCUAACACAUGCAAGUCGAACGGAGUUAUUUUCUUCACUCCGAGCUUUUUGCCAGUUAGCCGGAGCGGCAAUCGGUUUUGCCCAGCAUAAAAAGCAAAACCGAUUUAGGCUCAUAAAGUAAGACUAACACAGAGCGCAGAGAGUUGGGAGUGAAGAAAAUAACUUAGUGGCGAACGGGUGAGUAACGCGUGAGUAACCUGCCCUGGAGUGGGGGACAACAGUUGGAAACGACUGCUAAUACCGCAUAAGCCCACGGCCCGGCAUCGGGCUGCGGGAAAAGGAUUUAUUCGCUUCAGGAUGGACUCGCGUCCAAUUAGCUAGUUGGUGAGGUAACGGCCCACCAAGGCGACGAUUGGUAGCCGGACUGAGAGGUUGAACGGCCACAUUGGGACUGAGACACGGCCCAGACUCCUACGGGAGGCAGCAGUGGGGGAUAUUGCACAAUGGGGGAAACCCUGAUGCAGCGACGCCGCGUGGAGGAAGAAGGUUUUCGGAUUGUAAACUCCUGUCGUUAGGGACGAUAAUGACGGUACCUAACAAGAAAGCACCGGCUAACUACGUGCCAGCAGCCGCGGUAAAACGUAGGGUGCAAGCGUUGUCCGGAAUUACUGGGUGUAAAGGGAGCGCAGGCGGACCGGCAAGUUGGAAGUGAAAACUAUGGGCUCAACCCAUAAAUUGCUUUCAAAACUGCUGGCCUUGAGUAGUGCAGAGGUAAGUGGAAUUCCCGGUGUAGCGGUGGAAUGCGUAGAUAUCGGGAGGAACACCAGUGGCGAAGGCGACCUACUGGGCACCAACUGACGCUGAGGCUCGAAAGCAUGGGUAGCAAACAGGAUUAGAUACCCUGGUAGUCCAUGCCGUAAACGAUGAUUACUAGGUGUUUGGAGGAUUGACCCCUUCAAGUGGCGCAGUUAACACAAUAAAGUAUCCACCU
RNAcentral lists this ribosomal RNA (970 nucleotides) under human gut metagenome. RNAcentral describes it as "bacterial SSU rRNA". It matches the Rfam family "Bacterial small subunit ribosomal RNA", at positions 9 to 873 of the family's 1533-position model. The record is from RNAcentral.